AAAGCUUUAAGUUAAAAAAACUAUUAACCUUCAAAGUUAAAAAUAUAUUUGUAUAAGCUUUA
RNAcentral lists this transfer RNA (62 nucleotides) under Oxycarenus lugubris. Its description in RNAcentral is "tRNA-Trp". RNAcentral also lists the same sequence under 1 other name. Lineage: Eukaryota; Metazoa; Arthropoda; Insecta; Hemiptera; Oxycarenidae. The record is from RNAcentral.